ACCUGAGUGGCUCAGUCAGUUAAGCGUCUGACUUCGGCUCAGGUCAUGAUCUCACAGUUUGUGGGUUCAAGCCCCGCAUCGGGCU
This 85-nucleotide transfer RNA is filed under the name Felis catus (domestic cat). It matches the Rfam family "tRNA". From Rfam's summary of the family: Transfer RNA (tRNA) molecules are approximately 80 nucleotides in length. Their secondary structure includes four short double-helical elements and three loops (D, anti-codon, and T loops). Further hydrogen bonds mediate the characteristic L-shaped molecular structure. tRNAs have two regions of fundamental functional importance: the anti-codon, which is responsible for specific mRNA codon recognition, and the 3' end, to which the tRNAs corresponding amino acid is attached (by aminoacyl-tRNA synthetases). tRNAs cope with the degeneracy of the genetic code in two manners: having more than one tRNA (with a specific anti-codon) for a particular amino acid; and 'wobble' base-pairing, i.e. permitting non-standard base-pairing at the 3rd anti-codon position. Lineage: Eukaryota; Metazoa; Chordata; Mammalia; Carnivora; Felidae. The record is from Rfam by way of RNAcentral.